This 138-nucleotide small nucleolar RNA is filed under the name Ornithorhynchus anatinus (platypus). The record is from RNAcentral. Lineage: Eukaryota; Metazoa; Chordata; Mammalia; Monotremata; Ornithorhynchidae.
CCCCUCUCAGGGGCACACCUGGAGAGUUUCCAGUACUCUACCAGUCUUGACUUUGGGAGGUAGAGUCAAGCAGAGAUAUAUCCAUUCCAUUCCUAGCUUGGGCAGUGGCUAGUGAGUGGAUGGCAAUCUGCUACAAGU